Molecule: ribosomal RNA, 253 nt
Filed under: uncultured bacterium
Lineage: Bacteria
Description: partial 16S ribosomal RNA
Rfam family: Bacterial small subunit ribosomal RNA
Source: RNAcentral
CACGUAGGGGACGAGCGUUGUCCGGAAUCAUUGGGCGUAAAGCGCGUGUAGGCGGUCCGGUAAGUCCGCUGUGAAAGUCGGGGGCUCAACCCUCGGAUGCCGGUGGAUACUGUCGGGCUUGAGUACGGAAGAGGCGAGUGGAAUUCCUGGUGUAGCGGUGAAAUGCGCAGAUAUCAGGAGGAACACCAAUUGCGAAGGCAGCUCGCUGGGACGUUACUGACGCUGAGACGCGAAAGCGUGGGGAGCAAACAGG